RNAcentral lists this unclassified non-coding RNA (236 nucleotides) under uncultured fungus. RNAcentral describes it as "sequence contains ITS2". The stretch from base 1 to 52 matches the Rfam family "5.8S ribosomal RNA", at positions 103 to 154 of the family's 154-position model. The record is from RNAcentral. Lineage: Eukaryota; Fungi.
AACGCACAUUGCGCUCCUUGGUAUUCCGAGGAGCAUGCCUGUUCGAGCGUCAUUACAACCCUCAAGCCUUGCUUGGUACUGGGCGUCAUCGGCGACGAUGUGCCUUAAAGUUAGUGGCGGUGCUGCCUAGCUUCUAAGCGUAGUAAAAAUCCUCGCUAUAGAUGCCUGGUGGAUACUCUGCCAUAGAAAUUUUCAAGGUUGACCUCGGAUCAGGUAGGGAUACCCGCUGAACUUAA